GCAGAAACAGCUCAGUUGGGAGAGCGUUAGACUGAAGAUCUAAAGGUCCCUUGUUCGAUCCGGGGUUUUGGCA
Molecule: non-coding RNA, 73 nt
Organism: Salmo salar (Atlantic salmon)
Lineage: Eukaryota; Metazoa; Chordata; Actinopteri; Salmoniformes; Salmonidae
Source: Rfam